Molecule: ribosomal RNA, 521 nt
Filed under: uncultured bacterium
Lineage: Bacteria
Description: bacterial SSU rRNA
Rfam family: Bacterial small subunit ribosomal RNA
Source: RNAcentral
AGAGAAUUUAGCAGAGAUGCUUUAGUGCCUUCGGGAACUCUGAGACAGGUGCUGCAUGGCUGUCGUCAGCUCGUGUUGUGAAAUGUUGGGUUAAGUCCCGNAACGAGCGCAACCCUUAUCCUUUGUUGCCAGCACGUAAUGGUGGGAAACUCAAAGGAGACUGCCGGUGAUAAACCGGAGGAAGGUGGGGAUGACGUCAAGUCAUCAUGGCCCUUACGAGUAGGGCUACACACGUGCUACAAUGGCGCAUACAAAGAGAAGCGACCUCGCGAGAGCAAGCGGACCUCACAAAGUGCGUCGUAGUCCGGAUUGGAGUCUGCAACUCGACUCCAUGAAGUCGGAAUCGCUAGUAAUCGUAAAUCAGAAUGUUACGGUGAAUACGUUCCCGGGCCUUGUACACACCGCCCGUCACACCAUGGGAGUGGGUUGCAAAAGAAGUAGAUAGCUUAACCUUCGGGAGGGCGUUUACCACUUUGUGAUUCAUGACUGGGGUGAAGUCGUAACAAGGUAGGCGUAGUGCU